UCAUGGCUCAGAACGAACGCUGGCGGCGUGCCUAACACAUGCAAGUCGAGCGAGAAAGUCCCCGCAAGGGGAUGAGUAAAGCGGCGAACGGGUGAGUAACACGUGGGCAACCUGCCCUUCAGUUAGGAAUAACCCCGCGAAAGCGGGGCUAAUACCGGAUGACGUCCUUUGGGGGCAUCCUCGGGGGACCAAAGGGGGCGAGCGAAAGCGGCUCCCGCUGAAGGAUGGGCCUGCGGCUGAUUAGCUAGUUGGUGGGGUAGCGGCCUACCAAGGCGACGAUCAGUAGCCGACCUGAGAGGGUGACCGGCCACACUGGGACUGAGACACGGCCCAGACUCCUACGGGAGGCAGCAGUGGGGAAUAUUGCGCAAUGGGCGAAAGCCUGACGCAGCCGACGCCGCGUGGGUGAUGAAGGCCUUCGGGUCGUAAAACCCUGUCGGGUGGAACGAAUUCCGCCUUGCUAAUACCAAGGCGGUUUGACGGUACCACCGAAGGAAGCCCCGGCUAACUACGUGCCAGCCGCCGC
RNAcentral lists this ribosomal RNA (526 nucleotides) under uncultured bacterium. RNAcentral's name for it is "bacterial SSU rRNA". It matches the Rfam family "Bacterial small subunit ribosomal RNA", at positions 17 to 518 of the family's 1533-position model. The record is from RNAcentral.